Molecule: long non-coding RNA, 5689 nt
Organism: Rattus norvegicus (Norway rat)
Lineage: Eukaryota; Metazoa; Chordata; Mammalia; Rodentia; Muridae
Source: RefSeq, a predicted model, not a curated record
UCAUGCUUUACAGGAGUAGAACUAGCUGGUAUUUUGUCUUCAUGUCUGCUUUUCCUCACCAUUAACUCUGAAACAUCUACACCAUCUCUGCUAAUUAUUGCCUUUCGAUUGCUCUAUGAUGUAACUUUGCAGUCAUCGAGAUGAGAGCAGUGCAGAGACGUGAUGAAAUGGCGACACGGUUGUCACCGGACCUCAGUGAAGUUUAUGUUUAGAUGAACUGUAAGCCUUCUUGUGAAAUUUAAAUCAAGAAGUACACUUAUUUUCAAGGUGUUUUAAGGUUGUUGCUGCUGAUUAGGGGAGUAUUAUUUACCAUAUGCUGAAUACUAUCAUUCCUGGUAAGUUUUGGAUUCUGUAUCCUAAAAUAAAGACAUGUUAAUUUCUUGUUUAUUGCUGCACUAGUCAUAAUAGCUAAGCAAUUGAACAAGCAUAUAUGCCCUUCAACAUUUUAGUGGAUAAUAUAUAUAUGUAUAUUAUAUAUUAGUUAUAAAAUUAGUUAUGAAAUUUAUUAACUCCCAAGUAAAUAUGAAAUUAUAUUUGUAAAAAAUGGUUGCAAAUUGAAACCAUGAUCUUAAGUGAAAUAAACCAGAGACAGAAAGACAAAUACCUAAUCUUUUCCGUGUGUGUGUGUGUGUGUGUGUGUGUGUGUGUGUGUGUGUAUUUUUACAUAUUUACUUGAGGAAAUUGGAAAUAUAACCACAAAAAUAAUUAAUAGAUGUCAAGAAUGGAAGAUCAAGGAAGAAAGAGAAUUCAUUAUUAAGUAUAUUCAACAUUGAUAUAAAAGAAAAAUACAGUAUAUUGGGGAAAAGGAGACUAGGAAUUUGCUUUAUGUAUUACAAGAAAACCUAGAGUUGGAGAGUCCAAUUAAUAGCUAUGUAUAUAUGAAAAUGCCAAAAAUGAAACCAUUAGUUUUGUGUCCUACCAUAAAAAGUAAAUUCGAGAGAAAGGUCUGAUUGACAAUGAUUGUGUGGGGCUGAGGUGACAGCGGAGAGGAGGAGGAAGAAGCUGAAGAAAGCAAUCUGACUGUGGCAAUCUGAAACCAAAUGCUAGUUUUAGUCUCUCUUUAAAUCAUCUCAUAAGAUAAUUUAAAAUUCAUUUCAACAUGUCCUUUUCAAAUACAGAGAAGUCAAUAUAUACUGAAUGCAAUCUGCAUUUCAACAGCAUUUAAGAAACAAUUCAACAACUCUGAGAAAAACAGUGAUAAUUUAAAUCAAAUAAAUAGUACUGCUAUAUUCUAAAUAACUAAGCAUGAUCAAACUGGAGAUAUAGUAUAUAAUAUUAAUAUUACAUAUAAACUAAAAUAAGAAAUAACCCAUAUAUAUUUCCAUUGUUCAUGCUUGGCAGCCUAAUGAGAAAAUAGUGAGCCUGACUUAUUUUAGAAAUAUAUUCAAGGAACUAUUCUCUGUCUGAGCCCUCAUUAUCCCACGUCAAUGAAUUGCAAAAUUAAUGGAAAAUAUAAUUUAUAUUAAAAUUUAAUGGAUAUAAACUAUAUAUGUAUAUUCUGCUUAAUUAUGUCAUAUCAUAACCCAGUUUAUUACAUAUAAAAUGUAUCCAUUAUCAUGUUAAGACCACUUUGAUUUUCUCCAUAUCCUAGGUUGCCACCUGAUACCACGCCAAAUUUACUUUUAUAAUUCUACAGUUUUACCCUAUACUUUAUUGCUGGAAAUAUAAUCAUCUCAUUUUGCAAGAACUUUGUGUUUUUGUGAAUUAUAUACAUUAAUUUUGUAUUUGCCUUCACAUUUUUUUACUUGUGUUUAUCUACCUAAACUAAAAUUAGUAAAUUAAUACAAACUAUUCACCUAGGUACAUAUAUAGGGCUUCUUGGUAUAAUAAAACUUUUGAUACAAUCUGAAAGCCAUCAAUAGAAUAAAUGUGUUUUUUCAACACAAUUGUAUUGAUUGAAACAUACAACAGAAUAAAGUGUUUAUGAUGCAGUUUACAACAUAUAUGCUAAUAGAUGGUACACAUAAUACAUGCUGUAACAUAUAUAUGCUAAGCUGUGAAAUACGCUGCAACAUUUGUGACAGUAUGUGUUCAUGUAUGGAUGAACUUCAAUACCAUUCUGUAAGGGCACAAGUUAGAUUAAUUUUUUCAGAUUUUGCCAUGUUCUACUAAUAUGAUAUAUUAAAAGCUAAAGAAAGAGCAUGAAGUUAGAGGCCAAAUAGCAGUCAGUAAGUAUCAGGAGGCUAUACAUUUAGGGAGCAUUUAAACAUGUGGAUCAGGCAUUUUCCUAGUGCUAAUAAAUAUUUCAGAACUUCAGGUAGUUAUAACAGUCUUUAUAUGAGUAAAAUUUAAAAUUCAUUCUGUUAUUAACAUUAUCUCAACCAAACCAUUAUUUUCAAUAAAUAAUUUAGUAAUUAACAGUGAAUAUUUGACAUCGGACAAAUCUUAAAUCUUUAUAUUAACCAAGAUGUUUUUACAUACUAAGUGAUAUAUGUUAUUGAUUAUAGUUCUGAUCCUCAAAGAAGAAUUUGUAACUCACUUUGACCAAUAUUUUAGAAAUUUUCCUAAUGUGAAUAUUAAUUAUUCUUUUUAGUUAGCAAAGUUGGCCAAUUCCAGUGUCUUAAAGUACAAACAACUGGCACGGUCCAUAUCUAUCACUUUAGCAUUAGCUUGUCCCAUGGUUUUCGAACACAGCUGGCAUUACAACAAAUCCAUAAAUGACAUCAAUAGAAUAGGGUCUGGCUAAUCCUAGCCCUUUGGGGGAUUGUUUGAUGGAUGUUUCUUCAGAUCGCCUCUCUAGGAUAGAAAACACACCUUGGCAGAAACCCAUAGAACCAGCUGUGAUUAAUACUUUUACACUUCCUAAUUAGUUGAUCUGUGUUAGGACAAGAUACUCAGCAAUAACUUCAAGGAUGAUCCUACGCAAUAAUUUAUUAAGGUACAUAAUUUAUUAAGUCUUGGAGUAAAAAACUGAAACUGAAAUUUUCCAUCCCUAAAAUAUCAAUAUUCGAACAUUGACCAUCUAAUGCAAGAAAAUUGCUAAACUAUGAAGCAUUCAACACCACAUUUUCUGGAAAUACGAAUGCAUAUAGAUGUUUUAAAAUUUGAAUCAAAAUAUUCCAGAAACCAUAGGUAAUAUAAUGGCUUGUAUUUUUUGUAUUACUAGGAAAAAUAAUAAGAAUUCAUGUGAAAAAAACAAACUUAGGAAAAUAAGGUUAUCCGUAUGUGUGUAGACAUACAUGCUAACUCAAAAUAAAACCUGUCACUGAAGAGAGCAACAUGAUGUUCAGUUGUUUUAUAAAUAAGACUACACAUCUCAAAUUAUUUUUUCUCAAGGUUUUACUGCUGUGAACAGACUCCUUGACCAAGGCAACUCUUAACGCGCUACUUUACAGGUUCAGAAUUUCAGUUCAUUAUCUUCAUGGUAGGAUCCUGGCAUCGUUUAGAUAGGCAUGGUGCGGGGGGCAGGUGGCUUAGGGUUCUAUAUUCUCAUCUGAAGGCCUCUAAGAGAAGACUGGCUUCCAGGCAGCUAGAAUAAGGGUAUUAAGUCCUAAACCCAUAUUAACACACUUCUUGCAAAUUCAUACCUAUUCCAGCAAUGCCAUACUUCCUAAUAAGGCUACCCCCUCAGCCAAGUAUAUUCAAAUCACCACAAUGUAACAAACAUUUUUUUAUAUAGGCUGUCAUCUACAGAUCACUUACUAUGUAAUGUAUAGGAGGAAAGAGAUACAAAAGAUAUGGUCAUAAUUAAAUGUGAUAGAAUUCAAUGUCAAAAAGAGUAUUAGUUAUUACCUCAGUUGUAGGUUACUUUGUAUAAUGAUAAUGCUUAUUCUAUGUCUCCUUAAGGGUGAUAUAAUGUUUGAUAUUGGAUAAUAUUUAUUGAAAUUAAUAUUGGAGUAAACAGAGAUAGUAACUGAAGUCUGAGAAGAUUACAUAGGGGACCUUUUGCUUUCCAGAUUUCCCAUGUUAGUAGGAUAUAAACAGCAGUUCAUAGAAAUUUCUUUCUCAAAUCCUUUUUCUUUCCAGAAGAGUAGUAAAGAGUACGAUAAUAUGAAAUAUAGUUGUUUUAGCCAUGGGUUGUUUGGGUUUUGUUUUAUUUCUUUUUCUCUUAAUUUUGAAUAUUAAUAUUUCUUCUCUGAAACCUUUUGGGGAAACUUAAAACUGUUUCAGACACACUGGAACACAGUGACGUCUGAAACAUUUUCUUUGCUCAUUUUCUUUACGGCUGUUAAUGAACACUGGAUAUUUCAAUUCAGCCAUGUUGCUCACAGUAUAUCUUAUCUCUUUAGAUUUUGGUCAAGAGUUUUAUUUUUUAAGACAUUCCAAAAACAAAAAAAAACAAACAAAAACCACAUUUCAUCUUCACACUAUUAUACUUGUUCAAGAGAAAAUAUGGCUACUACCAUUUUGUUUUGAUAUUUCUUCUCACAAGUUUUUCUUCCAUGAUACCCUAAGAAAUCUUCACAGUUCCUUGUCUAAGGAUGGCAUUACCUUUAUUUUAUUUUAAGUCUGUAACAGGUGUAUUUUAUUGUAUGAUAAUUUUUGAAAACUAGCAAUGCUUUUGCAAAGUAUAGAAUGACACAUUUUAUAUAUGCUUUCUGAAAAAAACUCCUUGUCCAUAUUAACAUCAAGAUAAAACACUGUCCAAUUAUAAAAGGAAUGAGAGCUUAAUGUAUAUUCUUAUAUGCAUCUGGAGGUGAAGGCAAGGUGAUUAAGAGAAACUGCAUUUAAACUACAUUUUCUUUGCCAUUCUUGAUAGAGACUCGAUAAAAAUAAUGUUCACUUCCAACUUUUUUUAACAUUGUUCUCAUGACCACCCUAUAAUUGUUCAGAAUAUUGAAGGUGAAAGAUCUUUCCUUAUAAAUUGUAUUAUCUGGGCUUACUCAAAUAGAAUAAAUAACAGAAGAGCAAAGUUGGAAACAUCUAGCCUCCUGUAGCACUCUUUCUGAAAACAUUGGUAUGUGAAUGUGGUAAAAGUCCUUAUAAUAGAAACAUAUCAGCUAAGGCACAUGUAUUUUGUGCCCCCAAAUUAAUUUAGAAAAAGUUAAAGCCUUGAAACUAUAUGCCAAUAAUUUGCUGGCACAAACUUUAAAUGGAAGAGCCCAGUGAUAGAUUAGACCACCAGAACCACUGACUUAAAAAAAAUUAGGUCUCAUGAGACACAGUUUCUUAAAAAGACUGAUGUUUCCUCUCCUAUUAUGCUUUUUUUUUCUGUUUUUUUUCUUUUCUAAAAAUAUUUAUUUUUCUUUCAUAUUAUACACCCAAACUGAAGUUUUCCCUUCCUUCACUCCUCUUAGUCCCUUGCCUCAUUAUCUCCUCUCUUCUGAAGAUCCACUUCUCCUCCACUUCUCCUACGAAAAGAACAGUCUUCUCAGAAAUAUCAACCAAACAUAGCAUAAAAAAUUAUAAUAAAACUAAACAUAUAUCUUCAUAUAAAGGUGGGAGGCAAUCCAGUAGGAAGAAAAGGUCUGAAGGGGAGGCAAACAAGUCAGAGAUACUCCCACUCCUGUCAGGACUCCCCACAAGAACACUCAGAAGUAAAAGUCUAGGUUCUGUUUCCAUUCUUACUCACAGGUUCUCUGGACAUUGUGACAUCACCAACUGUCAAAGAAUCACCAGAAAGAAACUGAUUGCAAUGCCAUGGUCUUGACCUUACAGUAUUGUAUAAUGAAGUUAUACUUUUGGAAAUAACCCAGGCUCUAGUAUUGGAUCAUAUUAACAGAAAUUAAAAUAAUACAAUAUCCCACUG